Long non-coding RNA from Gadus morhua (Atlantic cod), 1810 nucleotides. NCBI's taxonomy places the organism in Eukaryota, Metazoa, Chordata, Actinopteri, Gadiformes, Gadidae. The record is from Ensembl.
GAGCCGGAGACCCUGAUGAGUCUGUCGGCCCAGAUGACCCUCUACCAGAAAGACCUGGCUCUGCUGCCCGACACCAUCAAGACGUACAGCCACCCUGACGUGGUGGAGUGCAGCCUGGUGGUGCUCCACCUGGCCCGGGGCUCCACCCUGGUGACGGAGGCCCUGCAGACGACCGCCAGGGACCUGCUGCGCCACUACGCCAGCAGCCCCGACGCCCAGAGGGCCGCCCGGGCCUUCCUCGCCUGAGGACCUCUGGGAGGACACCCAGGGGGCCGCCCGGGCCUUCCUCGCCUGAGGACCUCUGGGAGGUCACCCAGGGGGUUCCUCACCUGAGGACCUCUGGGAGGACACCCAGGGGGUUCCUCACCUGAGGACCUCUGGGAGGACACUCUGUCCCCCCUGUUUAGUUGGUUUCGUUUGAGACUGUACGACAACGUUGCGCUUUGUUUACUUUGUGGAAACUCCCAAUAGCAGCAUUUAUACUGUAUCACUUUCUGUUGAAUAAAAUAUUUCUGUACUCGAUGCUCCCGUGGGUCAGUGGUCGUCUUUAUCUAAAGGUACGGCCACACCAAAAGCGUUACCCGCGUAUCACGCGUAUAAAAUCGGCAAUUUUUCCAUAGGGAACCAUUGGUUUACGCGCGUAUGAGACGCGUACACGCGUUACACGCGUAUAAGCAACAUUUUACUCGCGUUAGGCGCGUAUGAGGCGCGUAUAUAUACGCGCGUAUAUAUACGCGCGUACAUAUACGCGCGUACGAGGAGUUCAAAAAAUUGAACUUUUUACGCUCAUACGCGCCGCAAUAGCCAAUCAGCGUUGAGCUUGACCCGACGUCACUGGCAGAGAGUAGUGAGCUUGGACAGAAGCAUACGGCCGACAUCUUUCUUUAUUCUGUGUGGAAAUAGUAACAUAGUUACGCCAUUAAAUGCUUUUAUGGAAACAUUUUUAGCGAGAAAUGUGCAUUUUACUUUCAUAAUGUUCGCUCGGUGAAUGUGAAGGAUGUUUGGUUUGAUAGUUAUGACGAAGAGGGAACGCUCCGUUCACUUGCAUGGACAGAGUCUCUGGUUACUAAGCAACCUCAACGUCUUGGCGGACUAUAUAUCUGCUGAUCAACACUACGAAUGCUGGAAACACACCAGACACACCAUGUGAAGUUAUUUAAGACGAUUAUUGUUAUUUAUAUCCGAGAUUAUUUAAUCUAACCCGAUCUAAGCUCUAUCACCCAAACACGGCGGCGUUUGGGUUUCCUACCUCGGACUCCAGCGCAGCCAUGUCCAUGGCAGCCACGGCCGGCAACUUUCUUUAUUCUGGGUGGAAAUAGUAACAUAGUUACGCCAUUAAAUGCGUUUAUGGAAACAUUUCUAGCGAGAAAUGUGCAUUUUACUUUCAUAAGGUUCGCUCGGUGAAUGUGAAGGAUGUUUGGUUUGAUAGUUAUGACGAAGAGGGAACGCUCCGUUCACUUGCAUGGACAGAGUCUCUGAUUGCUAAGCAACCUCAACGUCUUGGCGGACUAUUUCUCUGCUGAUCAACACUACGAAUGCUGGAAACACACCAGACACACCAUGUGAAGUUAUUUAACCCGAUUAUUGUUAGUUAUAUCCGAGAUUAUUUAAUCUAACCCGAUCCAAGCUCUAUCAUCCACCCAAACACGGCGGCGUUUGGGUUUCCUUCCUCGGACUCCUAAAUCCAGCGCAGCCACAGGCUGGGGGGGGGGGGGGUCUCAUCUACGCGCGUAUCUGACCAUUUUUGACACAAAAUGGCCAAGCAACAUUUUAGCUGCGUUACGCGCGUACAUGGUACGCGAGGUACGCG